AGCAGCCGCGGUAAUUCCAGCUCCAAUAGCGUAUAUUAAAGUUGUUGCAGUUAAAAAGCUCGUAGUUGAAUUUCGGGACUAGUGCGCCGGUCGUGCCUUCGGUAUGUACUGGUGUUACUGGUUCCUACCUUCUGACGAACCGUCAUGUCAUUAAUUUGGUGUGGCGGGGAAUCAGGACUGUUACUUUGAAAAAAUUAGAGUGUUUAAAGCAGGCUCGCGCUUGAAUACAUUAGCAUGGAAUAAUGAAAUAGGACGUUCGAUCCUAUUUUGUUGGUUUCUAGGAUUGACGUAAUGAUUAAUAGGGAUAGUUGGGGGCAUUAGUAUUCAAUUGUCAGAGGUGAAAUUCUUGGAUUUAUUGAAGACUAACUACUGCGAAAGCAUUUGCCAAGGAUGUUUUCAUUAAUCAAGAACGAAAGUUAGGGGAUCGAAGACGAUCAGAUACCGUCGUAGUCUUAACCAUAAACUAUGCCGACUAGGGAUCGGAUGAUGUUAUUUUAAUGACUCAUUCGGCGCCUUACGG
This 520-nucleotide ribosomal RNA is filed under the name uncultured Glomus. RNAcentral describes it as "SSU rRNA". It matches the Rfam family "Eukaryotic small subunit ribosomal RNA", at positions 569 to 1093 of the family's 1831-position model. Lineage: Eukaryota; Fungi; Glomeromycota; Glomeromycetes; Glomerales; Glomeraceae. The record is from RNAcentral.